UGUGCAAGCCACUGUUGCUGUGGGAGCCACUCCCAACCGUGCUUUUGCCAUGCUGGCCUCAGCUCUGGAGGCAGAACACUUGAGAACUCCUGCUUUAGAAACUAGCGCUGCCCCAGUCAGUGUACCAGCAAUUAAGAGCAGUUGGCAAUUUGUGGAGAGGCAGUCAACACUUAUCCCUUUACUUGCGUGAAGUAGAGUUUGAAUGAAAAAGACAAACUGAAGGAGGAUUUGGUAUCUGGAAGCAUAUCACCAUCUAGCGAUGGAGCCCAGAAGUGACUGUGAAUCAGAGCUCUGUGUGUGCAGUUUUAACAGGACUGACAAACCCCUCAGAGAAGUCAUUAUAUGGUGCUGGAUGAAUAGGUGUUGCCCUCUACACCAGAGCUUUGGUGAUUCUGCAGAAGCUGCUCUGGGUGUUAUAGACAACUAUUUUUCUGCAUGCCAGUGCAUGGGGGUGCUAAAGUGCAAUUCAACAUCCAGGCAGCUGCAGAAUAGUUUUGUUUCCCAGCUGAAACAGGGAAACCAUCACAGAAACUCACAGGAGACUGCAGGUGGUACAGUAUGAAGACUGGUGGCAUGCAAAGGCAGGGGGGUAUCUUGCCCCACUGUGAGUACUCCCAGUUUACUAGUGACUUGAGAAGGUCACAAAACAGAAACCUCAGCUACAACUAGGAAGAAUUCAAAGACCAAAGCCAACUUCUGGAUCUCCUCCCAUCAGUCCUUCCCUGGACUUCCCUAGAUUCAUUUCCCUAAGCUAAAGGGACCUGCUCUUGUUUUAGAAAGACCAGCAAGUGAUGGGGACAAGCUUCUGAGCCCCUUGCAGGAUGCUAGAACCUCUCCUUACAGCUGCUUUCCUGGGUAACAGAUUGCAACUGAGCCACAGCAGAGCCACAGCAGAGCCACAGCAUCCCAGUGCCGCCUCCAGGCUUUCCAGUACCUCCUCACUGAGUGCCUUCCCCACUGGUAGUCAGUGGCCAGGUUUGUCCACAUGGCACACAGGCUGUGUCCAACACUGGUGCCUCUUGUAACUCACUUCCUUGUCCCUGAGAAGCAGUUGUGAUAAAUCUCUGUAGCACAGACCCUCCAUCCUGUUUCCUUUGUUCGUUCAAUUAGUUUUAGCUUUAACUAUUUUUCUGAUCAUUAUUGUCAUCCUAAGUGUUUAGGUAAUACAAGUCAAAAGAAGAUGAGCACUUACUGACUGGUGCAUCCCCGACCCACAGCAAACUCAAAAGGCAACUUCAUGCUGGUCCCACCAUAUGUCAGCCCAAACAAGAACCACCUCCACACUUGUCCUAUGGUAUUCAGACUUCUAAAUCUGAGCUCUGCCCUCUCCCAUCUGCAGCUACCUCACUCUGUGCUGAUGGACACAUCAAUCAGAAUUUCUGGGACUUCCUAAGACCCCGUUUCCUACUUGAUGGCUCCUGACUGCCACAGGAUCCCUGCUGGGACACAGGAGGUGCACACGGGCCAGCAAACCCCUCCAGAACAAGGUAUCUUCUCUAAGUACUGCUAGAGGUGUUUGAGUCAAACAACUGCAUUGGAAGACAGGACAGUCCCUUCUGGUGAGGUACUAUCUGCAACCUGAGGUCCAAGGAUACCUUUGCUGCAAGAGCACUUGCAGCAACAACAGAUGGUCCCUCCUGUGCACAGAAACUUUACCAGGAACACAGAUGCCUCCUUGAAUGAUUUAGCUCCUCAUGGGCAGAAAUUAAAGCCUUUAGACAGCUAUAGUGUCAAACAGGGAGUUAUAAUGGGAACAUGAAAUCAUUCUGGAAAGAAGAAACAGCUCCUGGAGGAAGGGAAGAAGCAAAUUGAGAGAAGAAGGAAAAACCUUACCACAACGAAAGGCAAUCCAUUUGCAAAGAGGUAAAUACCUCACUUGGGAAGAAGAAUAACAAGAGGCUGGCCCAGGAAGCAAGACUUUCUUAAUGAACAGGAUUAUACCUCUCUGAACUAUUCCCAUGUAAAAAAAAGUAUUUUCUGAACUUCAGAUGAGGAAAACAUCAGAGACAUCCCACAGGAAAAAGUAUUUUGGUGAAAGCUGCUUCUAGCUCAAGUACUGGGACAUUUGAAGGUCUGAAAAAGCCUUGAAACAGAAGAAGCUGGAACAGAUUUCCAAGGGUUAUCUCCCAGAAAUCAUGAUGCUUUUUAAUCCUGAUUUCUACUACAGUCCUCUUGAAACAUCUCAUUCUUCAUUCCUGUCCUCAAUGAUGAUUGAUUUUGUCAUCAAAGAAGCUGGAUCACUGAGAUGAGUUUGGCUCGAGGUCUCACAGAGAUGUUGCUGUAACUCAGUGAAAGAUUUUACAACCAAACCAAACCAAAACAGCCAUCUCUAAAUUUUAAUACAAUUUCAAUAGAAAAAUAGACACAACUUCUCUCAGUAAAGUGCCUCUCACAUCCUGUAGGAUGAGAGACUGAGUUGCACUAAAUGUAUUUACAAGGCGUAUAAUUAAAAUAUUUGGUACUUACACAGAGAAGGUGUUCAAAUGACCAAAAUUUCAAAGACUAGGAAUGCAAAUCCAGUUUAAAAUACCUACUCUAAAGACAGACCUGAUUUUCUAACCCACUUAUCCAUCACUUCUUCCGAACACCUUUGGUGAGACCAAACCAUUUAAAAAAGUCAGGAUACUCUUCUAAAGCAAGCUUUCAGGUAGAUUUACGAUCACAGAUUUUGUUUUGAAAACCAUCUAGUCUUGGCUGUAUCU
Pseudopipra pipra is the source of this 2702-nucleotide long non-coding RNA. RefSeq lists it as uncharacterized. Lineage: Eukaryota; Metazoa; Chordata; Aves; Passeriformes; Pipridae. The record is from RefSeq and is a predicted model, not a curated record. The transcript is spliced from 6 exons.